UACGUAGGUGACGAGCGUUGUCCGGAUUUACUGGGCGUAAAGAGCGCGCAGGCGGUCGUUCAAGUCGCGUGUGAAAGCCCCCGGCUCAACUGGGGAGGGUCACGCGAUACUGAUCGACUCGAAGGCAGGAGAGGGUAGUGGAAUUCCCGGUGUAGUGGUGAAAUGCGUAGAUAUCGGGAGGAACACCAGUGGCGAAGGCGACUACCUGGCCUGUUCUUGACGCUGAGGCGCGAAAGCUAGGGGAGCAAACGGG
RNAcentral lists this ribosomal RNA (253 nucleotides) under uncultured bacterium. RNAcentral's name for it is "partial 16S ribosomal RNA". It matches the Rfam family "Bacterial small subunit ribosomal RNA", at positions 524 to 776 of the family's 1533-position model. The record is from RNAcentral.